UGGGCCUUUAUUAUCAAGUAUAAAGGCAAGAGGAAAUGUUAAUGAAUGCAAUGUGUUCUUCAUGCCAAUAGUCUUCUUCCUUAGAGAUAAUGUAUGCCAUUUUAGCAUCCAUUUUGGGUGACGCCACAUCGGUGUUCCUGGCUUUCUGCUUCUUCUUUUGCGACAUAUCAGUGCUCCACUGCUCUUGUUUUCUACUUCUUCUUCAGUUUGUUGCAAGUGGGUUUUGAAAGUUGAGAUUUUGAUUUUUAUUAUGGUCUAGGUUCUGCCCUUCGUGCGUCCAUGGCUCUAUGCGACUGCAAGUCCUUCCAUUUAGGUUUGCGAUUCCAAGGGAAACCAUGGUGAUUGGUGUAUGUGAAAUUGUGAAAUUGCAAAAUUGUGGUGGUGAUCGAUUUUCAUUUUCAUAAUAAUUCGAAUGGUGGCUGGAAGCUUGGAUAUUGUGACAGUGGAUUGGGAAGCCGAGAAUGGAGCAGAGUAAGAUGGAAUGUAAGCGAUCAGUAGUUAGAUGAGUCCACUCGUCUGUGAAGAUGGGCAAAAGGAUCUCUCUACAUGUGUUUGAGAAGGGCAAAAUUAGAAAAAUAAAAUAUUCAUGUUUUGAAUUGGAACUGUUUCCCUGAACAGUAAAUCGGAUUCUCCUUUAAUGUA
This is a long non-coding RNA of Hevea brasiliensis (rubber tree), 642 nucleotides long. RefSeq lists it as uncharacterized. The record is from RefSeq and is a predicted model, not a curated record. Lineage: Eukaryota; Viridiplantae; Streptophyta; Magnoliopsida; Malpighiales; Euphorbiaceae. The transcript is spliced from 2 exons.